UGCAUGAACUAUUGGCGUUGGCUAUCUAAAAGGACAGAAAGGUAGACAUGAGCAACAGAUCUCGCUCCAUGGGCUGAAACUGGGAUUCGUGAUGAAAGUGCUACUGCCGCUCUCAACUGUAGCGGUGUGGUACUGGGAUCCUUGCCAAUAAGGCUAGGGGAUUGAAGAAGCACUUGAAGAGGCUCAAUGCGCCCAAGCAUUGGAUGCUCAACAAGCUUGGCAGAGCUUUUGCUCCCAAGCCAUCUUCUGGACCUCACAAGUCCAGGGA
This is an RNA transcript of Zea mays, 268 nucleotides long. It is a transcript of the gene named 40S ribosomal protein S4-like pseudogene, with no coding region annotated. The record is from RefSeq and is marked validated. NCBI's taxonomy places the organism in Eukaryota, Viridiplantae, Streptophyta, Magnoliopsida, Poales, Poaceae. The transcript is spliced from 4 exons.